GAUGAACGCUGGCGGCGUGCCUAACACAUGCAAGUCGAGCGAUUCUCUUCAGAGAAGAGCGGCGGACGGGUGAGUAACGCGUGGGUAACCUGCCCUGUACACACGGAUAACAUACCGAAAGGUAUGCUAAUACGAGAUAAUAUGCUUUUAUCGCAUGGUAGAAGUAUCAAAGCUUUUGCGGUACAGGAUGGACCCGCGUCUGAUUAGCUAGUUGGUAAGGUAACGGCUUACCAAGGCGACGAUCAGUAGCCGACCUGAGAGGGUGAUCGGCCACAUUGGAACUGAGACACGGUCCAAACUCCUACGGGAGGCAGCAGUGGGGAAUAUUGCACAAUGGGCGAAAGCCUGAUGCAGCAACGCCGCGUGAGCGAUGAAGGCCUUCGGGUCGUAAAACUCUGUCCUCAAGGAAGAUAAUGACGGUACUUGAGGAGGAAGCCCCGGCUAACUACGUGCCAGCCGCCGCCGUAA
Molecule: ribosomal RNA, 468 nt
Filed under: uncultured bacterium
Lineage: Bacteria
Description: partial 16S ribosomal RNA
Rfam family: Bacterial small subunit ribosomal RNA
Source: RNAcentral